UGAGGAAUAUUGGUCAAUGGACGAGAGUCUGAACCAGCCAAGUAGCGUGCAGGAUGACGGCCCUAUGGGUUGUAAACUGCUUUUGUUUGGGAAUAAUCGACAUUACGUGUAAUGUUUUGCAUGUACCAUUCGAAUAAGGACCGGCUAAUUCCGUGCCAGCAGCCGCGGUAAUACGGAAGGUCCAGGCGUUAUCCGGAUUUAUUGGGUUUAAAGGGAGUGUAGGCGGUUGGUUAAGCGUGUUGUGAAAUGUAGAUGCUCAACAUCUGACUUGCAGCGCGAACUGGCUGACUUGAGUACACACAACGUAGGCGGAAUUCAUGGUGUAGCGGUGAAAUGCUUAGAUAUCAUGAAGAACUCCGAUUGCGAAGGCAGCUUGCUGCAGUGCGACUGACGCUGAUGCUCGAAGGUGCGGGUAUCAAACAGG
This 424-nucleotide ribosomal RNA is filed under the name Verrucomicrobiota bacterium. RNAcentral's name for it is "Verrucomicrobia bacterium partial 16S ribosomal RNA". It matches the Rfam family "Bacterial small subunit ribosomal RNA", at positions 355 to 776 of the family's 1533-position model. The record is from RNAcentral. Lineage: Bacteria; Pseudomonadati; Verrucomicrobiota.